GACGAACGCUGGCGGCGUGCUUAACACAUGCAAGUCGAACGGAAAGGCCCUGCUUUUGUGGGGUGCUCGAGUGGCGAACGGGUGAGUAACACGUGAGUAACCUGCCCUUGACUUUGGGAUAACUUCAGGAAGCUGGGGCUAAUACCGGAUAGGAGCUCCUGCUGCAUGGUGGGGGUUGGAAAGUUUCGGCGGUUGGGGAUGGACUCGCGGCUUAUCAGCUUGUUGGCGGGGUAGUGGCUUACCAAGGCUUUGACGGGUAGCCGGCCUGAGAGGGUGACCGGCCACAUUGGGACUGAGAUACGGACCAAACUCCUACGGGAGGCAGCAGUGGGGAAUAUUGCACAAUGGGCGGAAGCCUGAUGCAGCAACGCCGCGUGCGGGAUGACGGCCUUCGGGUUGUAAACCGCUUUCGCCUGUGACGAAGCGUGAGUGACGGUAAUGGGUAAAGAAGCACCGGCUAACUACGUG
This 468-nucleotide ribosomal RNA is filed under the name uncultured bacterium. RNAcentral describes it as "partial 16S ribosomal RNA". It matches the Rfam family "Bacterial small subunit ribosomal RNA", at positions 28 to 507 of the family's 1533-position model. The record is from RNAcentral.